RNAcentral lists this long non-coding RNA (837 nucleotides) under Mustela putorius furo (domestic ferret). RNAcentral describes it as "lncRNA (ENSMPUG00000026065.1)". The record is from RNAcentral. Lineage: Eukaryota; Metazoa; Chordata; Mammalia; Carnivora; Mustelidae.
CUGUCCCCGCCCACCUGGGGCGCAAGACAAACAGCAUGGUGGGCGGUGUUCCUUCUCUUUCAGAGCCAGGCUCUGGAUGAAAGUCCCAGCUCUGCUACUUACCCACGCUGUGCUUCCGUUUCCUCCUCUGAAAAGUCAAAGGACAAGAGCGUCUGGCUCAUGUCGCUGCCACAAGGACCAGGUCUUGGGCCCCAGACUGGGGACCUGGGAGCUUGGAGAUGAGUCAGGUAUGGUCCCUCUCCCCUGGGAGCCUCAGCAUCCACAGAGUGGACAAGAUAAGAAAGUAAAGAACUAUGUUCUCCGGAGUGUGGGCACCAUGGAGCCUGGGACCGUGCCUGUUCUAUUCCAGUUUCCAAGCAGGGCAGCACCUGGCAAACAGAUGAAAGAUAAUGUAGUAAAGACACAGAGACAAGGCAAAGGAUACCUUAAGUACAAACCUUGGAUUAUAGGAAGAGUUAAAUAAAUUCUUGAGCCAAGAAACAAAUCAAUAAAUGGCUACCAUCUGGGAGAUCAGGGAAGGCUUUCAGGAGGAGGCAGCAUUUGUGCUGGAUAUUGAAAGGCUGGCAGAAUAGAGACACGUGAAAAGAGCAGAAUGGGUAAACACAACAGGAGCAAAGUCCUGGGGCACAAGGUGUGGACUUCAGGCAGGACAGGACAAAGCCUAAUUCAGAGAGCUUGUGCAUUCGGCAGAGGUAUGUGGGGCGGACGUGGCAGAGGUUAGUGGACUUGUAACAAUUCCCGAAUGCCCAGAUCACAGUCAGUUAAUGCCACAGAGCUCAGUCCCGCACACAGGCCUUUCUGUCAGCCUGAUCUAGAGUCUCAUUUUCAAUCUCCUCG